CCUCAAGUAGUUUUAAAAAAUUUUCAAAUUCGCUAAACAGCUCAACGCUGGAAUUUGGUGGUCUGUACCAUGUUGUAAUUAACUGAGGUUUACUUUUAAAUUUUUUUUUUUUUUUUUAAAUUUCUACGCAAAUCAACUCUAAAUUAUCAGGGAAGAGGUCUUUGCGAAUGGUGUAUGGUAUGUUGCUUCUAAUAUACAUUGCAACACCUCCUCCGCUUCUGUUUCGAUCACGCCUAACAAUAUCA
Non-coding RNA from Paramuricea clavata, 245 nucleotides. Lineage: Eukaryota; Metazoa; Cnidaria; Anthozoa; Malacalcyonacea; Plexauridae. The record is from the annotation of a GenBank genome assembly.